AGGGUUUGAUCAUGGCUCAGAGUGAACGCUUGCGGCGUGCAUUAUGCAUGCAAGUCGAUCGGGAUUCACUUGGCUCUAUUCUUCGGAAGAGAGCCUUGUGAUGAGAGUGGCGAACGGGUUAGGAACACGUGGGCAAUUUGCCCUUAAGUUCGGGAUAGCCUCGGGAAACCGGGAUUAAUACCGGAUGUGGUCGUACAUCGCAUGGUGUACUGUCUAAAGAUAGGGAUCCUUCGGGACCUGUCGCUUAAGGAUGAGCCCGCGACCCAUCAGCUUGUUGGUAGGGUAACGGCUUACCAAGGCAAUUACGGGUAGCUGGUCUGAGAGGAUGGUCAGCAACACUGGGACUGAGACACUGCCCAGACUCCUACGGGAGGCUGCAGUCGAGAAUCAUUCGCAAUGCACGAAAGUGUGACGAUGCGACGCCGCGUGGAGGAUGAAGGCCUUCGGGUUGUAAACUCCUGUCAUGAGGGAAAAAUGGUACGGGUGGUAAUACCACCUGUAUUUGAUGGUACCUCAAAAGGAAGCCACGGCUAACUCUGUGCCAGCAGCCGCGGUAAUACAGAGGUGGCGAGCGUUGCUCGGAUUUACUGGGCGUAAAGGGUGCGUAGGCGGCAUGGCAAGUCGGGUGUGAAAUCUCACCGUUCAACGGUGAAACUGCAUUCGAAACUGUCAAGCUAGAGUACAGGAGAGGAGAGCGGAAUUCUCGGAGUAGCGGUGAAAUGCGUAGAUAUCGAGAGGAACAUCGGCGGCGAAGGCGGCUCUCUGGACUGAUACUGACGCUGAGGCACGAAAGCUGGGGGAGCGAAGAGGAUUAGAUACCCUCGUAGUCCCAGCCGUAAACGUUGUGUACUUGGUGUGGGCGGCUUUGUCCCCGUCCGUGCCGUAGCUAACGCGUUAAGUACACCGCCUGGGGAGUACGGCCGCAAGGCUAAAACUCAAAGGAAUUGACGGGGGCCCGCACAAGCGGUGGAGCAUGUGGCUUAAUUCGAUGCAACGCGAAGAACCUUACCUGGACUUGACAUUCAACUGCACGCCCCGUGAAAGCGGGGAAGCCUUCGAGGGUGUUGAACAGGUGCUGCAUGGCUGUCGUCAGCUCGUGCCGUGAGGUGUUGGGUUAAGUCCCGCAACGAGCGCAACCCUUGUGAUUAGUUGCCACUUCAGUGGAAACGCUGGAAGCACUCUAGUCAGACUGCCCGUGACAAGCGGGAGGAAGGUGGGGAUGACGUCAAGUCAGUAUGGCCCUUAUGUCCAGGGCUGCACACGUGCUACAAUGGACGGUACAAUGCGAAGCAAGACCGCGAGGUGGAGCAAAUCGCCAAAACCGUCCCCAGUUCGGAUUGGAGUCUGCAACUCGACUCCAUGAAGCCGGAAUCGCUAGUAAAGGCGUAUCAGCUACGACGCCUUGAAUACGUUCCCGGGCCUUGUACACAC
RNAcentral lists this ribosomal RNA (1431 nucleotides) under uncultured prokaryote. Its description in RNAcentral is "partial 16S ribosomal RNA". It matches the Rfam family "Bacterial small subunit ribosomal RNA". The record is from RNAcentral.